GUGGGGAAUUUUGGACAAUGGGCGAAAGCCUGAUCCAGCCAUGCCGCGUGCAGGAUGAAGGCCUUCGGGUUGUAAACUGCUUUUGUACGGAACGAAAAGACUCCUUCUAAUAAAGGGGGUCCAUGACGGUACCGUAAGAAUAAGCACCGGCUAACUACGUGCCAGCAGCCGCGGUAAUACGUAGGGUGCAAGCGUUAAUCGGAAUUACUGGGCGUAAAGCGCGCGUAGGUGGUUUUGUAAGUUGGAGGUGAAAUCCCCGGGCUCAACCUGGGAACUGCCUCCAAAACUGCAUGACUAGAGUACGGUAGAGGGUAGUGGAAUUUCCUGUGUAGCAGUGAAAUGCGUAGAUAUGCGGAGGAACACCGAUGGCGAAGGCAAUCCCCUGGGCCUGCACUGACGCUCAUGCACGAAAGCGUGGGGAGCAAACAGGAUUAGAUACCCCUGUAGUCC
RNAcentral lists this ribosomal RNA (450 nucleotides) under uncultured bacterium. Its description in RNAcentral is "bacterial SSU rRNA". It matches the Rfam family "Bacterial small subunit ribosomal RNA", at positions 354 to 796 of the family's 1533-position model. The record is from RNAcentral.